This 460-nucleotide ribosomal RNA is filed under the name uncultured bacterium. RNAcentral's name for it is "partial 16S ribosomal RNA". It matches the Rfam family "Bacterial small subunit ribosomal RNA", at positions 338 to 795 of the family's 1533-position model. The record is from RNAcentral.
CCUACGGGUGGCUGCAGUGAGGAAUAUUGGUCAAUGGACGAGAGUCUGAACCAGCCAAGUAGCGUGAAGGAUGACUGCCCUAUGGGUUGUAAACUUCUUUUAUAUGGGAAUAAAAUGUUCCACGUGUGGGAUUUUGUACGUACCAUAUGAAUCCGGAUCGGCUAACUUCGUGACAGCAGCCGCGGUAAUACGGAGGAUCCGAGCGUUAUCCGGAUUUAUUGGGUUUAAAGGGAGCGUAGGGGGAUUUUUAAGUCAGUUGUGAAAGUUUGCGGCUCAACCGUAAAAUUGCAGUUGAAACUGGCAGUCUUGAGUACAGAAGAGGAGGGCGGAAUUCGUGGUGUAGCGGUGAAAUGCUUAGAUAUCACGAAGAACUCCGAUUGCGAAGGCAGCUCACUGGACUGCAACUGACACUGAGGCUCGAAAGUGUGGGUAGCAAACAGGAUUAGAUACCCCUGUAGUC